AUUGAACGCUGGCGGCAGGCCUAACACAUGCAAGUCGAACGGUAACAGGGAUCAGCUUGCUGAUUCGCUGACGAGUGGCGGACGGGUGAGUAAUGUCUGGGAAACUGCCUGAUGGAGGGGGAUAACUACUGGAAACGGUAGCUAAUACCGCAUAACGUCGCAAGACCAAAGAGGGGGACCUUCGGGCCUCUUGCCAUCGGAUGUGCCCAGAUGGGAUUAGCUAGUAGGUGGGGUAACGGCUCACCUAGGCGACGAUCCCUAGCUGGUCUGAGAGGAUGACCAGCCACACUGGAACUGAGACACGGUCCAGACUCCUACGGGAGGCAGCAGUGGGGAAUAUUGCACAAUGGGCGCAAGCCUGAUGCAGCCAUGCCGCGUGUAUGAAGAAGGCCUUCGGGUUGUGAAGUACUUUCAGCGGGGAGGAAGGGAGUAAAGUUAAUACCUUUGCUCAUUGACGUUACCCGCAGAAGAAGCACCGGCUAACUCCGUG
This 490-nucleotide ribosomal RNA is filed under the name uncultured bacterium. Its description in RNAcentral is "partial 16S ribosomal RNA". It matches the Rfam family "Bacterial small subunit ribosomal RNA", at positions 30 to 507 of the family's 1533-position model. The record is from RNAcentral.